Molecule: transfer RNA, 70 nt
Filed under: Sphaerodactylus townsendi
Lineage: Eukaryota; Metazoa; Chordata; Lepidosauria; Squamata; Sphaerodactylidae
Description: tRNA-Ala
Source: RNAcentral
GGCCAUGGCUCAGUGAUAGAGCAUCCUCUUGGCAUCCUGAAGGUCCCAGGUUCAAUCCCCGGCAUCUCCA